This is a long non-coding RNA of Dermochelys coriacea (leatherback sea turtle), 2993 nucleotides long. RefSeq lists it as uncharacterized. Lineage: Eukaryota; Metazoa; Chordata; Testudines; Dermochelyidae. The record is from RefSeq and is a predicted model, not a curated record. The transcript is spliced from 3 exons.
AAUCAGAUUCCUGAAAGGGGUAUAGUACUCUGGAAAGGCUGAGAGCCAUUGGUGUAGACAUAUCGCAAGUUAUGAUCAAAUUCCAGUGACUUUUGUAACACAUUAUUUUUAAACUAUGUGGCAAAGACUCCAGCAUUAUGUGGCAUCUCACUCCCAAAAUCCAUUUCUCCCCUCUCCUAGUCCAGUCACUCUUGUGUUAUUUACUUUGGUAUUAGACUUAAUUUAUUUUAGGCAGCCCCCAAAAUUUGUACUUUCAAAGUGCUGCAAGUUUUGUUCUGACAAUGAAGAGCAGCAAUGAAGGACUUGUCAGGAGAAGAUGGAGAUUUCAUUGUUAGGUAGGGAAUACUAGGAGGAUUUAGCUCACAGGAAGUUGUGAGGUUGUUUUGGGAGCCAGCUGAAGGGUUUGGCAUUGAGGAGAAGAUUCUUUCCCUCCCGCUUCUGGCUGUGAAUAGGAGGGGAGGGCUCACUGAGGUGAGAGAGAAGGCACUUGAAUUCCUCAUCUCUCACUCCAGCAACCCUUGACAGCAUCGAGCCACCCCAGUCCACUCCCACCUCAAUGUCUGCGACUACAUCCACAAGUGACAGAUCAGGUGAUAUUUGUUACCUCAGUAUUAACAUGCCACUGAGAUGCACAGGAAAGUUAACAUUUUCUCUGAGCCAAUGUUUCAGGCUAUUGUUUGCAGACUAAGACAGAGAUUACUGCAUCAGUUUAUACCAGAUUCACAUUCUGAUGGUUGUCUUCUCCACCCCAGGGCUAGGGACUUAACUUUUAAGUGAAAUCUCACCUGCAAUACAAUUAUGCAGCUGCAUAACUGUAUUACACAUGGGGCCCGGAUUGUGACACUGCCUUCUAAUGAUGGAAUGUGAUGAGGGAAAAAUUGUAAUUCAGCAUCAUGAUGUGAUUAUUUUGUGUCUUUCUGUAACUGCCUUUGAUAAGACAGUAACUGUCCACCUCUUCAAAGGUAGUAUCAUGGUUUUAAAUCAUAAAUGUAUUAGCAUAAAAAUCUUAUGAUCAGUUCAUGGAAAAAUGGAGCAAAGCGGGGUAACAGAUAUAUUAUGGUAUUGCUAUAGACUUCAUAAUUACAAUUUUAGCACCCUGUGUCUAUGUUAAUAUUGUAAAUAUUAAAAUCUCAAGGACUGUUAAGCAAUAUGUAAAAGUACCUAGCAGAGGUAUGGAUUGGUGUCUGUGUCGUUAAUAGCACUGUCUACAUUAUAAAAGUAGAAGGUUAUAUUAAUGAUGAUAAUAAAAAUGAGAUAAUACACAGCAGAGAGGAAAACACAUUAAGUGAGGCUAGCAAGAGUAUUUUUUCUUGAGUUGCAGAGAGCUAGAACAUUCAUCUUUCUAAUGAGACCUGUUCUUCCGAAUAUAAGAAAAAAAAAUCAAGAAGUUCAAUGUCCUUGUGUAGACAAGCCCUUAGAGAUAAUCUAGGCCAAAAACACAGGAACAGGGAAUUAUCAGGACCGACCUUUAGAGUUUUGAAGUUUAUUAGAAAUGUUGGCUAGCUCUUGCUUCUGCUCUGUUCUGGAUUUCUGCUCCAAGUAGACUUGCUUAGCAUCCAGAGAAAAAGGUAUUGGUCUAAUAACAACAACAAUGAUAAUUAUAAUAAAAUCUGAAGAUGAAAGGAACUCCAAUCAAAAGGAAAUGUGUCAGAAAAGCCUAAACUCUCAACUGAUCAUGCUCAGAAUAACCACAGUGUGCUUCACUGAAAUUCAGUAAGAUUGGGGAUUAGAAAAGGAAGGCACAGUCUAUGAAAACUAUUCUUUUAUUGCAAUACUUUGGUGGAGGACAAACUACACAAACUGGGUUUGCCAUUCAGAUCUUCUCAAUAUCCCCUUAUUUUUGCACUUUAUCACUGCCAGAUAUUUGCCUUUUCUAUUGCCAUUACCGAGAGAGUGUCCUGCAUUUAACAUUAGAUACUACUGCUGCUGUAACUGCAAUUUGUGGAUAAAGAGGACUUUGAUAUUAAUUGGGUUCCCUAAAGGCCCACGGUCACAGUCAGUACUGAAAGAAAAAGCAUCAGGAGAGAGGGUUCUAUUGAAAACACACCCUGGAGCCAAGGGGGGCACUAUGCAACAUGCUAAAAAGCAAAACAAAUCCAUAACUAACACUCAUCCUCAUAAAACGAAGUAAUUGAGAAUGCAGAUGUCUGGUACAAAUUUAGAAAAACAGGAAUGGGAGGGAACGCUAAUAAAUACAGUGCUAAUAGAAGCCAUUCUAAAAUCCCAUUUUGUGGUGGGAAGUUUUUAGGGGCUUUUUAAGAAGUGGGAAGAGAAGCAUCUCAGGAGACUGCACAAUCCACUCCCUGAUGAUAACACUGAGCACUUAUCACAGUUUUAAUUCACAGAUCUCUAAAUGCUUUACAAUGGGGGAUAAGCAUGAUCAUCUACAUUUUACAGACAGAGAAGUGCUUGUGCUAAGGCCAAACAUCAGUUCAGUGACAGCAUUAUUAGGAACAGAAGCCAGGCCUCCUGACUUCCAGUCUGCUGCUCUGUUAAAUGGACUAUCCUGCCUCCUAAGGCCACCCAACGAAGAUGUGAUUGUCUGCCUGUUUAAGAUACAAGAGUUACAGAAAUUGCCAUACUGGAUUAGAUCCAAGAUCCAUCUAGUUCAGGAUCAUGUCUCUGACAGUGGCCAGGACCAGAUGCUUGAGAAGAACGCAAGAAUGGCCACACUGGGUCCAUCUAGCCGAGUAUCCUGUCUUCUGACGGUGGCCAGUGCCAUAUGUUUCCGAGGGAAUGAACUGAAUUGGGCAAUUAUUGAGUGAUCCAUCCCCUGUUGUCCAGUCACAACUUCGAGCUGUCAGAGGUUCAGGGACACCCAGAGCAUGGGAUUGGGAGAAACCCUGCAAGAGGCAGAGUUGAUAGGGUUUGUGAUCAUGUGACAAAGGGAUAGCAUUUCCAUCCUUAUCACACAGGACUCCCCGUGAAUCACCAACAUUGGCCACUGUAAGUUCUUUAUCUGACAGCAAUGCAAUCAAACAGGUAGUACCUGA